Molecule: long non-coding RNA, 1908 nt
Organism: Columba livia (rock pigeon)
Lineage: Eukaryota; Metazoa; Chordata; Aves; Columbiformes; Columbidae
Exons: 3
Source: RefSeq, a predicted model, not a curated record
ACAUCACCCAUUUCCACCUGCAAAUAGCACAUCUGUCUAUGUGCCAGCCUCAAGAAGGGGGAUGUUGUUCAGUCCCAGCAUAUUACAGCAUCCUGUGGCAGUGACUCCAACUUCUCUGCAGUCUGAUCAUAUGCUUCUCUCACCAGACUCUCUUCUCCACUGUCUGAAACUAAGUUCUGCAACAUCCUUCUUUAAUAAAGAAAGGACGAUCACAAACAAAGGAGUAGCCUGGCUGUGGAACAGUGUCAGCAGAGCCAGAACUGUCUCAGCCAAAUGGUGAAGCAGAGGGGUACACAGAACUUCAUUAGCCUGGUUUUGUCCAGGUGCCUCGGAAGAAGGCCUAAGGAGGUUAUCUAACCCAGUCAGCCAGCCUGGAAAAAGUGAUCAAAAGAGACAGAGGGAUCAAGGUGGAACAUUGCUUUAGACUUGUCCAUAUAAAGAAAAAGAAGAAGAAAUGAAUUGUCCGAGGAAGGGUAAAUGUACUCAUACCAUGUGUUCAUUUUGCUUUAACAGGAAAAAAAAAAAUCUGACUUUUUUUUGUGACAAAUAUAAGAUUAUAUUUUCAUGGUGAUAGUUUCUCCUAUACCAGCAUUUCAGCUCCUGGGAAUCUAUUUAAAAUGUGUAACUCAUAAUUCAUAAUUGGGUAGUAUGCUUGCUAAUGCUAUUUUUGUAAGCAAAGAUCUUUUAUUUAGGUGUACCAUGAAUUAAGUUAAGAAUUUCAACAGAGUAGUAGUGUUGCUAAAUUAUAAGUUUCUAUACUAAAAGUGAUAAUACCUCCUAUCGUUAUCUAAGUGUAUUGUAUGCAAUUAUAAAGAGUAGGAAACUAAAGAGGAGAUUAAGCACUGAACAAAUGCUUUUAUUUUAGUAUGUUCUCUUUUAUUCUUUAUCUGUUUUACAACAAAACACAUCUCCUCAUAAAUGGGCCCUGAAACCAGAGUUAGUCAUGUUGUUUGCCUAAUUCUACAGAAAUUUACAUUUUGUAUUACUCAUGUAUGGUUUUCCUGAUCUUAGUCUUAAAGUUGUGCACAUUUUUUUUUUCAUAUUUUCCUCACUCUAAACCUCUCCUCAUAUCCUUAUUUCAAAACUGAAAUAUUUGAAUAAAUUCUGACAAACAAACAAGAAACAAAGUCUUACACUUGCCUACAUAAAAUCUUUCAGGUAGCCAUUGAAUGAUCUUGGCACACUGUGUAAAAUUUUGCUGAUCAGUAGGUACUUCUGGUGUAUACUAAAUCUUAGAGAAUGAAAUCUUUGUAAUCUGUGCAUACAAAGUGGUGUCGCUUCCUUGAAUGGGAGUUUGUGAACUCUUCAGGUUCCUAGAGCUUUGAAUCAAUCAAAAUUAUGUGUGUUUAUUUUCACAAGGAAAAUCCAUUUGACACGUGGUUUUGUUUUCAGUUUUUCCAGGAACCCAUGUUAGUGCUCUAUUUCAUUGUUACAUUUAAACUUCCUUUCACAGAAGUUUCAAAAAUCUGAUUGUUUCUAGAAAUGCUAAACUGUUACAUUUUAGUACAAACAAAAGAUCUCUUGGUUAAAAAAAGAUGCAAUGUUUCAACUGGCACGUAUUUAUGUGCAUAUGUUUAUGUAUAUAUAUGUAUAUAUACAUAUUCACAUGCAUGCAUGUUUUCAAUAUAUGUAUGCAUUCAGUGUAUCACAGGUGUAUAUAUGCAUAUUCAUAUAUAUAAAAUAUAGUUUUAUGUAUAUAACACUUAUAUAAUGAAUAAGUAAUAAAUAUAACGCAUCAUGGACUGUGAUAACAAAGAUAGACUAAAACUUGAGCAGAAUCCCAGAAUGUCCAGGUGAAUUUUUGUCUUUAAAGUUUUGUUGUUAAAGUCUUUAAAGUACCAUUUUCUUUAUUGUUACAAUUUUAGUAAAGCUGGAAUAAGAGGAAAAUAAAAGCAAUUCAACACAAAA